GGCGAAUGGCGGCGAUGGCAGGAAAAAUUGAACCCUGUCUGGGCCUCCUCGUGGUCGACUCAACCUGAAGAUGCCGACACAGGGCUCUGUGUGAGGCCAGGAGUCGUCGUGCCAGUCGACCACGUGCAGGGACAUGGAUAAGGUGGACCCUUUCCCAGGCCAAAGUUGCUACAAGCAUCACUCCCCAAAGAGGAUAUUUGGGGAGGUGAAGGACUUCAGCGGGGUGAAGCGUCUCAAGGAGGAGAAGGACCUUGCCACGGAGAAACGCCUCGUGGUAGAGGAGCACCUCUUUGAAAUGCAGCGCCUUGCCAGGGUGGAGUGCCGCACAGAGGAGAAGUGCCUCAGAGACGAUCUCCACCAGCAGCGCCUCAUUAAAGUGAAGUGCUUCACGGAUGAGAAGCGUCUUGUUCUCCCCGUGGCCGCAUGGAUUUUUCUCUGGGUCCUUCGGUUUUUCCCUCCACAUUCAGAAACAUGUGUUUAAGAGUAUUUGGCUGCUAUAAAUUUCUGCGUAACAAGCCAAUUCAUGGGUAUUUCAUUUGUGGCCAGGUCGCGUCUGGAAAAGAGCUGCAUAGCAGUGGGCCUUACCUGCUAAAAUACAAAUAGAUUCGUUUUGUUAGUUUAUUUUGUGCCACAGAGGGG
Long non-coding RNA from Lethenteron reissneri (Far Eastern brook lamprey), 639 nucleotides. RefSeq lists it as uncharacterized. The record is from RefSeq and is a predicted model, not a curated record. Lineage: Eukaryota; Metazoa; Chordata; Hyperoartia; Petromyzontiformes; Petromyzontidae.